This 439-nucleotide ribosomal RNA is filed under the name uncultured Sporanaerobacter sp. RNAcentral's name for it is "bacterial SSU rRNA". It matches the Rfam family "Bacterial small subunit ribosomal RNA", at positions 338 to 795 of the family's 1533-position model. Lineage: Bacteria; Bacillati; Bacillota; Tissierellia; Tissierellales; Sporanaerobacteraceae. The record is from RNAcentral.
CCUACGGGGGGCUGCAGUGGGGAAUAUUGCACAAUGGAGGAAACUCUGAUGCAGCGACGCCGCGUGAGCGAUGAAGGUUUUCGAAUCGUAAAGCUCUGUCCUAAGGGACGAUAAUGACGGUACCUUAGGAGGAAGCCCCGGCUAACUACGUGCCAGCAGCCGCGGUAAUACGUAGGGGGCGAGCGUUGUCCGGAUUUAUUGGGCGUAAAGGGUGCGUAGGCGGCCUUGUAAGUCAGAUGUGAAAUCUCACGGCUUAACCGUGGUAAGCAUUUGAAACUGUGAGGCUUGAGUACAGGAGAGGAGAGUGGAAUUCCUAGUGUAGCGGUGAAAUGCGUAGAUAUUAGGAGGAAUACCAGUGGCGAAGGCGACUCUCUGGACUGUAACUGACGCUGAGGCACGAAAGCGUGGGGAGCAAACAGGCUUAGAUACCCCGGUAGUC